Molecule: ribosomal RNA, 434 nt
Filed under: uncultured bacterium
Lineage: Bacteria
Description: partial 16S ribosomal RNA
Rfam family: Bacterial small subunit ribosomal RNA
Source: RNAcentral
AGCGAACGCUGGCGGCAGGCCUAACACAUGCAAGUCGAACGAACCUUUCGGGGUUAGUGGCGGACGGGUGAGUAACACGUGGGAACGUGCCUUUAGGUUCGGAAUAACUCAGGGAAACUUGUGCUAAUACCGAAUGUGCCCUUCGGGGGAAAGAUUUAUCGCCUUUAGAGCGGCCCGCGUCUGAUUAGCUAGUUGGUUGAGGUAAUGGCUCACCAAGGCGACGAUCAGUAGCUGGUCUGAGAGGAUGAUCAGCCACAUUGGGACUGAGACACGGCCCAAUCUCCUACGGGAGGCAGCAGUGGGGAAUCUUGCGCAAUGGGCGAAAGCCUGACGCAGCCAUGCCGCGUGAAUGAUGAAGGUCUUAGGAUUGUAAAAUUCUUUCACCGGGGACGAUAAUGACGGUACCCGGAGAAGAAGCCCCGGCUAACUUCGUG